UUUCUCCUUCUCUCUCUACUCUCCAUCUCCUCAUGUUCUUUACUGUAUUCUCAUCCUCUCCUUUCUCAGUUGUCCUUCUCUGUCAUCGUAUAUGCUUUGAUUAUUCUUUAAUCAACGAACGAGUUUUGGUAUUGAUCCUUAAUUUGGUGAUAUUAGGGUUUCAAUAGAAUCCCUCUAUUUUAAAAAGAAGCUGUUGAAAAGAACCUGUUCGAUCCCUGAACUAUACUUAAACCUAACCGAAAGUUCUCUCUCCAUUCACAGUGGCUUUGCUGUAAACUUUUACUUCCCGUCAUAUGGUGAGUCGAGUUAAAAAUAAUGGUGUGUAGAAUCAUUUAAACUAUGAAAGAUUCAAAGGGGAUUAGGGCUACACGUGAUGGAAUUAAUGUCUUGAUAAUAAGCUCAAGAAGCCUGAAUCACUCGGGGUUGUAGUUUCAUUGAGUGAUUUUUCUCUUGAUUUAUGUCCUACGGGUUUGGAUAGGGUUUGAUUCACCGGUGCGCUGACGGGCUCGGUUUGGAAUUUUCAUACCAAAACAAACAUAGGUACAAUUUUUAUUUGAAAGAAAAGUGGAUAAACAACCCGACUCUAUGACUUUAUACUAGGUACCAGGAAUUGUUGCUGAGAAGAAAAAGAGCAGCCUGCUGCUGGAGUUCCCUUGGCCGGAGUUGGUGAGACCAUUUGCAAAUUUCCAUCAGACCCAACUGUGGUUUUAGGGAGUCUAUCAGUUGUAGCUCCUUUCAUCUGCACUGGACUUGGAUUCGUUUCUGUGUUUUAUCCUUACAAAAGCUAAUCUGUAUACGUUCCUAAAGAGGCACUGUUCCAAAGCACUGUCUUAGUUGUCUUCAUCUAGGUUGUUGUUUAAGUAAACAAUGCACUUGAUUUGAUCUAGAUGAAUGUUGUGUGGUUGUUUUGAUGAAACAGUUUACUUAGCCGUGUGUGUUUGUUUUGAUGAACAAGAUAAAUUCUUUCUUUGUGUGGUCUAUUGAU
Molecule: long non-coding RNA, 985 nt
Organism: Papaver somniferum (opium poppy)
Lineage: Eukaryota; Viridiplantae; Streptophyta; Magnoliopsida; Ranunculales; Papaveraceae
Exons: 7
Source: RefSeq, a predicted model, not a curated record